RNAcentral lists this ribosomal RNA (588 nucleotides) under uncultured bacterium. Its description in RNAcentral is "bacterial SSU rRNA". It matches the Rfam family "Bacterial small subunit ribosomal RNA", at positions 338 to 919 of the family's 1533-position model. The record is from RNAcentral.
CCUACGGGAGGCAGCAGUGGGGAAUUUUGGACAAUGGGCGAAAGCCUGAUCCAGCAAUGCCGCGUGUGUGAAGAAGGCCUUCGGGUUGUAAAGCACUUUUGUCCGGAAAGAAAUCUGUCUGGCUAAUACCCGGACUGGAUGACGGUACCGGAAGAAUAAGCACCGGCUAACUACGUGCCAGCAGCCGCGGUAAUACGUAGGGUGCGAGCGUUAAUCGGAAUUACUGGGCGUAAAGCGUGCGCAGGCGGCGAUGCAAGACAGGUGUGAAAUCCCCGGGCUUAACCUGGGAACUGCACUUGUGACUGCAUUGCUAGAGUGUGUCAGAGGGAGGUGGAAUUCCGCGUGUAGCAGUGAAAUGCGUAGAGAUGCGGAGGAACACCGAUGGCGAAGGCAGCCUCCUGGGAUAACACUGACGCUCAGGCACGAAAGCGUGGGGAGCAAACAGGAUUAGAUACCCUGGUAGUCCACGCCCUAAACUAUGUCAACUAGUUGUCGGGGAUUCAUUUCCUUGGUAACGCAGCUAACGCGUGAAGUUGACCGCCUGGGGAGUACGGCCGCAAGGUUAAAACUCAAAUGAAUUGACGGGGA